RNAcentral lists this ribosomal RNA (279 nucleotides) under uncultured bacterium. Its description in RNAcentral is "partial 16S ribosomal RNA". It matches the Rfam family "Bacterial small subunit ribosomal RNA", at positions 506 to 784 of the family's 1533-position model. The record is from RNAcentral.
UGCCAGCCGCCGCGGUAACACGGGGGGCGCAAGCGUUAUUCGGAAUUAUUGGGCAUAAAGGGCACGUAGGCGGUCCUGUAAGUCGGAUGUGAAAGACCCUGGCUCAACCAGGGAAGUGCAUCCGAAACUGCAGGGCUUGAGGCCGAGAGGGGUGAGUGGAACUCCUGGUGGAGCGGUGAAAUGCGUAGAUAUCAGGAGGAACACCGGUGGCGAAGGCGACUCACUGGCUCGGUUCUGACGCUGAGGUGCGAAAGCUAGGGUAGCGAACGGGAUUAGAUA